Ictalurus punctatus (channel catfish) is the source of this 651-nucleotide long non-coding RNA. Lineage: Eukaryota; Metazoa; Chordata; Actinopteri; Siluriformes; Ictaluridae. The record is from Ensembl.
UGCAUAAGGCUGUGUGUAUACGGGUGUGUAUAAGGGUUUAUAUAAGGCUGUGUGUAUAUGGGUGUGUAUAAGGGUGUGUGUAUAAGUGAGUGUGUAUACAGGUGUGUAUAAGGGUGUGUGUGUGUGCUGUACCCCUUUCCACAGCCCUCUGGCCCAACCAGCAGGAACGGCUGUGUGUUUCCGGCCUGCAGCCAGCGUGUGAAGUUGUGUAGCGCGUCCUGUGUGUGUGGAGUGUGUAUGACGGGGAGUGUGUGCGUAUAUCCGAAGUCCUCCACGCACACUCCGUCUCCACGCUGCGCCUCGUACGCACGCACGCGGCCAGAGUCACCAUCAUAGCACAGAUCCAGAGGGUUCCGCGGGUCAGGAGGGCUCUCACCUGCCCAGGUUAGCACCUACACACACACACACACACACACACACUUGUAUACAAAAUGACAACCUGCAUGCGCGCACACACACACACACACACACACACACACACACAUUCUCUGACCUGCUUAGCGAACUCCUGUCGUGAUUUGAGCUGCAGGUUUCCUCCGAGUCCACGGAUCAACCCGACUAUAAACUCCCCCCGCUCGCUCACCCCCCCGACAUGGGACAAACCAUUCAUGACAGCCCCUACCAGACUGGUCUCUACCACACACUCCCCCU